GGGCCUCAGGGCAGGAGCUGUGCACAGCCCUGGUAGGUAGUUGUCUGGGCAUAUUCCAGCUCUAGCCCUUUUGUUAUGACCUUUGGCCAAGCUCCUAAUCUUUUAAACUAUUUAUAAAAUAAACAUAAGAUCAUGUAUAUGAAAAUGAACUGCAAAUUACUAUAUCAUUUCUGAUCUAAAGGUUGAUGGUGAUUAAAAGGCUGGUGAUUUCCAUUUUUUGCCAGUGCUUCCCAAGAGAAUUUUUAUAGGAGAGGGUGAGGAGAUGGUUUAUUAUUCUUAUCACCAAAUGAGGAGAGUCCUUGGCCUCCUUGGUAGGGCCCUGAUUA
This 326-nucleotide long non-coding RNA is filed under the name Bos taurus (domestic cattle). RNAcentral's name for it is "long non-coding RNA NONBTAT024677". The record is from RNAcentral. Lineage: Eukaryota; Metazoa; Chordata; Mammalia; Artiodactyla; Bovidae.